Long non-coding RNA from Rosa rugosa (rugosa rose), 1718 nucleotides. RefSeq lists it as uncharacterized. Lineage: Eukaryota; Viridiplantae; Streptophyta; Magnoliopsida; Rosales; Rosaceae. The transcript has 2 exons. The record is from RefSeq and is a predicted model, not a curated record.
UGACGUGGGAGAUAUUAUGGGAGAUUAAAUCUGAUUUUUGCCAUGGGAAAUGAUGGAGAUAAUGUGAAAAUCAAGGAGAGAAUCAAGGAGAUUACGUUGAGAAAAUCUUGGGAGAGUUUCAUGGGAUUGUGCAACAAGAAAAGGCUCAAAACAAGUCCAGAUUCAUUCCUCAAUUCCCUCAAGAUAUGUUGGCCGAAAUUAAGGAAUUAAAAUCUGCAAUUUUAAUGCGAAAAUCAAGGGGAGGAUGUUAAGGAUAAAGCCAUGGAAAGAUUUAAAGGAGAAAAGGUUCAAAAUGCGUCCGGAUACAUUGUCUAGGUUCAUGCCUAGAUAUUUGGCCGAAAAUUGUGAAUAAAAUCAGAUUAAAUCAUGGAAAAAUCAGCAACAAAAUAUUAGGGAUUGAUUUUGGAGCUUUUUAAUUGGUUGGAUGACACAAUAGAGCUGACGUGGCGCUACGUGAUUGGUCUAAGCUGUGUGGCAUAAUCAGAUUAAUUCCUUGGGAAAUUAAAGGAAUGAUCAUGAAGCUUGGUCAUCCCCCUAUAUAAACCCCCCUAUGCUUGACGUUUGAACACACCACGACACACUUUCAUUCAGAAAAAUCCUCCAUAACGUCAUAACCUCUCUCUCUCUCUCUCUCCAUUAUCUAGUUGCAAAGUUCUGCGUUUUCAAGCAAGGAGAGGAAGAAGAGGAAGGAGCCGUGAAGAUCAUAUCCUCCAUCAUCCACCUUGAAGGCUUGCUUCCAAGAUUCAAUAUCCAACCAUCAAGCUCUCCAUCUCCAUCUCCACUCACGGUGUGUACCCUCAAUCCCGGGUUAGAAUGAUCCCUAUUUACCAUUUACUAACGAUGACAUUUUUAGGGUUAAAUUAUACGCUUACUUUUAACGCUAUCAGGUAUUUUGUGACAAAAUUAAACUUGUCACAUAAACGUUAACCUUAUAUGCAGUGAUUACUGCCGUUUGAAUUGUGUGAUUUUAGGUGAUCUUCUGAACUAAAUUAUAUGCAGGGAUUACCGCUUUUUGAAUUGUUUGUUUUAAUGUAAAUUCCUGAACUAAACUCUAUGCAGGGAUUUAUAUGAUUUCUAUUAUUUGUUUUAAUGUGAUCUCCUGAACUAAGUUUCUAUGCAGGGAUUACUGAUUUUACUUAAAUCAAUUGUAAGUGCGGUUAUGGUUUGAGGAUUGUAGUGAGUUGUGAAAUGAGUUGUGAGGUCAUCAUUUUGACAAAUGCUUUAUGUUGAGGGGAAGUGAAUGUGAUUUGUCGUUGAGAUGAUAUGAUAUGAUAUGAACUUGAUGUUUGGUCGUGUUUUGUGGAAUUAAAUAUUGUUGCUUUAAUUCUUCUUACGAGUUGAGAAAUUAUAAGCAUGCGUGACGUGAGUUACUUUAAUUGAAUUUACUCAUACGGGCUGAAAAGCUUACCGGGUUUGUUUUGUUCAUUCCCGGUGCACUAUUCUAUGGUGUAGGGGUUUUUGUGCAGGUUUGUUUAUCGAGUGAUCAUUAUCAAAGCUGAGGUGUAUGUUCGAUGGCGUGGACGUGGAAGGGUGCUCUUAGUUUUAAGUCUUCCACUGGGUAGUGAGUUGUGGUGAGUGUGUUUACUUAUUGAAUUGUCAUUCAGUUUGAUUUGUAAACUAUCUGUAAUGUAAUAUGUGACUCUAAAGAACGAGUCGGUAUUGACAUUGUGAGCUCAGUUUGUUUGUUGCUUAGUUUAAAUAAAAAAAAUUUCUAUGUG